UGUUUCACUGAAAAUCUGAGUUACCGGGUUCGCCCCUGGGACGCCCUGGUACGCGUUCGGGUUCGAUCGGGUCCGUGGCAUGGGUCUAGUUCGACUUGGGUUCAACCAGGGUUCGAAAAAUCCAAACAGUCGAACCCGGGGUCGAACCCAGUCGAACCUGGGCGGACCCAGUUGAACCCGGGUGGCUGGGUGGCCCAUAAAGUUAAAAAACAAAGCAAGUUUAUUUAUUUUUCAAUUCCGCCUUGUAAAAAGUGAAAAUUAUAACCUAAAAAACACUUCUAAAACAUUUUAUUGACACAUUUCACUUCAUUUGUGUUGCAAACAAAAUUUUUAUGAGAGCAGGUUGAAGAAAGGUUGAACAAAAUUUGGCUUCCAAGAUCAAAGAGGAGGAGUUGAAGAUUGAUUUUAGAAGCUUCAACAAGUGUUGCAGCAUCAUUUCCAUACAUUUUCAAGCUUCCAUUGGCUGCAAGAGGUAGGUUUUUAAACAUUUUUUUUCAACUAUUUUUGUUUCACAAAUUGUCAAACAUGAAACUUGAAUUUUUUUUCAUUAUUUAGUUUUUGUUUUUGAAUAUGUUUAUUUUAUUUCUUGCCAUAGGAACUAGAAUGGCAUCUACAUCUUUCUCCAUUGGCAAUGAACAAAUAAUUGCAAAACAAAGAAAUGAUCCAAAUUCUCCCUUAUGGAAAUAUGUGGACAUUAUAAAACAACUUCCGGGAGGUGGGGGAUUCCGUUGGAAAUGCCAUGGAUAUGAUAUUGAAUGUAAUAGUUCAUUUUAUCGGGUGGUAGGCCAUUUGUGUGGAAUAAAAGGAAGAGGCAUCAAAAAAUGCCCUGGAAAAAAUGGUAAACCUAUACCAGAUGAGAUAGUGAUGAAAUAUAUUAGGGAGCAUGAGGCGGCAGAAGAGAGGGAAGCUCGCAGAUUGAACCAAACCGCAUCAAAGAAAACAAGGGGAAUGCAAGGCCCUUCUAAUCCCAGUAUUGUAGUAGAAGACCACCCCUUCUUUGCCACAAAUGAACCUGAAAGUGAACCACCCUUGACACGUAAAAGAACAAAGGGGCCUUUAGAAACCGCAUUCCAAAAUGAGAGUAGAUACAAUGCUGAUCAAGAUAUAGUAAGGUGCAUUUAUGCAAAUGGGUUGUCAUUCAAUGUUGUUCGCUCCCCAUAUUGGAAGCAAAUGAUAAAAAGUGUUAAUGAGGCACCAAGAGGGUAUAAGGGCCCCGGUUAUGAGAAGGUACGUGGAAAAUUAUUGGAGAAAGAGGUGAAGAGGAUUGAAGACGCAUUGAAACCCAUAAGGGAUUCAUGGGUUGAGACAGGUGUAACAAUUGUUAUAGAUGGGUGGAAAAAUGCUAAAAACCGUCCCUUGAUCAAUGUCAUAGUGGUGUCCCCUAAAGGGGCAAUGUUUUUGAGAGCUAUGGAUUGUGAGGGCCAAAUAAAAGAUGGCCAAUUUAUUGCAAAAAUUCUCAUCUUGGCCAUUGAGUCUGUGGGACCCCGCAAUGUUGUUCAAGUCAUAACGGACAAUGCAAAAAAUUGUAGAGGUGCUGGUUUGUUGGUUGAGCAACGUUAUGAUCACAUCUUUUGGACACCUUGUGUGGUACAUUCACUCAAUCUUAUGCUACAAAGGAUUGGGCAAAAAAUAAAAUGGAUCAGAGAUGUGUAUGCAGAGGCUGAGGACAUUCAGAUGUUCAUCACAAACCACCACAUGUCUCAAGGGAUUUUUAGAACCUAUUCGAAUUUGGAGCUAUUGAAGGUAAGUGAAAUAGUAAUUUAAUUUUACAUUUUCUGAUUUUUUUGAAUUUUCAAUGUUAAUAAUAUCAUUGUGUAAGCUAUAUUGUGUAUUCUUCUUUAAAGUUUGGCUUUAUUUUUUAAUCAUUUGGCAUUAAUUUGUGUUAUAGGUUGCUGAGACCUUUUUUGCAUCAAACACAAUCAUCUUAAGAUGACUUGUGAAAGUUAGAGUGGCACUAUGCAAUAUGAUGAUCAACACCAAUUGGAUUGUAUGGAAGCAAAGUAGCACUGAGAGGGCAGAAAAAAUUAGGGAUAGAAUAUUGAAUGAGAAAUGGUGGGAUCUUGUUACGUAUCUCCUAAGUAUCACUGAGCCCAUCAUGAGCAUGAUUCGCUAUACAGAGAUGGAUAGGCCUUGCAUAGGUGAGAUUUAUGAUGGCAUUGAUUCAAUGCUUGAAAAAAUAAAGGUCACUAUAAAUGAAAAAGAGAAUGAUCCUCAGGAGAAAUUCUUCAAAGAACGGGAAGUAAUUAUUGUAGAGAGGUGGAAUAAGAUGACCACUCCUUUGCACCUUUUUGCCUAUGCCUUGACACCUAAGUACUAUAGCAAUCAGUUUCUUGAUAAACCAGGAAGGAUUCCACCAUGGAGAGAUCUAGAAGUAUCUGAUGGGUAUAAGGCAACAUUUCUUAGACUAUAUCCGGAUGAUGAUUUGCGAGAUGUUGUUACAAAUGAGUUCAUAGAAUUUGCAAAUGGGAAUGGUCUAAGUGUUGAUGCACUUCGUCAUAGAUCCAAGAAAGAUGCUCAUAGCUGGUGGUACUUCCAUGGCACAUGCUUCCAACACCUACAACCCCUCACUAUAAAAGUUUUAUCACAAGUUGCUAGUUCAUCUACUUCAGAAAGAAAUUGGAGCACAUACUCUUUCAUCCACUCAGUAAACCGCAAUAGGCUACUAUCAAAAAGAGCGGAGAAUUUAGUAUAUGUGCAUUCCAACCUACGUCUUCUUUCACACAAACAACAUGACUACACACAAGGGGAAACAAAGAUGUGGGAUAUAGAGCCAGAGCAUACUGAUUUGGAUGCUCCUGCUUCUCAGCUUCUUGCAUUGACACUUGAUGACUCGGAAAUUGAGCCAACUUAUAGUGCAAGUGCAAGUGGCAUUGGCUCAUGUAAUGUCAAUGUCAAUGAGGAGGUGGAGGAGGAGGAGGAUGAAGAAUUAGAUGAUCCAUUUGAUGAUUAAACUUUAAGUUUAUAUUGUUGAAAGUUGAAACGAUGAUACUUGAAUAUUUUGUCAUUUUGAUAUUAAACUUGAUGUAUAUGAUGCUAUUAUCAAUUAUGGUAUGAUCAUGAUGCUAUGAUUACAAGUUUAUGUUUGUUUUGUUGUUUAUAUGAUGCUAUGUGACAUGCAUAUUUUAAUUCAUGCU
Cryptomeria japonica (Japanese cedar) is the source of this 3134-nucleotide RNA transcript. RefSeq lists it as uncharacterized. Lineage: Eukaryota; Viridiplantae; Streptophyta; Pinopsida; Cupressales; Cupressaceae. The record is from RefSeq and is a predicted model, not a curated record. The transcript is spliced from 2 exons.